RNAcentral lists this ribosomal RNA (397 nucleotides) under uncultured marine eukaryote. Its description in RNAcentral is "SSU rRNA". It matches the Rfam family "Eukaryotic small subunit ribosomal RNA", at positions 798 to 1191 of the family's 1831-position model. The record is from RNAcentral.
AAUAUUCGUGCAUGGAAUAAUAGAAUAGGAAGUUCGUUUCUAUUUUGUUGGUUUUAGGAUAACGACUUAAUGAUUAAUAGGGACAAUCGGGGGAAUUAGUAUUCAAACGACAGAGGUGAAACUCUUGGACCGUUUGAAGACUAACUACUGCGAAAGCAUUUUCCAAGAGUGUUUUCAUUAAUCAAGAACGAAAGUUAGAGGUUCGAAGGCGAUCAGAUACCGCCCUAGUUCUAACCAUAAACGAUGCCAGCUAGCGAUCUCAGGGUGCGUAAUACUAAGGCCCCUGAGGGAGCUUCCGGGAAACCAAAGCUUGUGGGUUCCGGGGGAAGUAUGGUUGCAAAGCUGAAACUUAAAGGAAUUGACGGAAGGGCACCACCAGGAGUGGAGCCUGCGGCUU